RNAcentral lists this ribosomal RNA (498 nucleotides) under uncultured bacterium. RNAcentral describes it as "partial 16S ribosomal RNA". It matches the Rfam family "Bacterial small subunit ribosomal RNA", at positions 30 to 523 of the family's 1533-position model. The record is from RNAcentral.
AUUGAACGCUGGCGGCAUGCCUUACACAUGCAAGUCGAACGGUAACAGGUCUUCGGAUGCUGACGAGUGGCGAACGGGUGAGUAAUACAUCGGAACGUGCCUAGUAGUGGGGGAUAACUACUCGAAAGAGUGGCUAAUACCGCAUGAGAUCUACGGAUGAAAGCAGGGGAUCGCAAGACCUUGUGCUACUAGAGCGGCCGAUGGCAGAUUAGGUAGUUGGUGGGAUAAAAGCUUACCAAGCCGACGAUCUGUAGCUGGUCUGAGAGGACGAUCAGCCACACUGGGACUGAGACACGGCCCAGACUCCUACGGGAGGCAGCAGUGGGGAAUUUUGGAAAAUGGGCGAAAGCCUGAUCCAGCAAUGCCGCGUGCAGGAUGAAGGCCUUCGGGUUGUAAACUGCUUUUGUACGGAACGAAAAGCCCCGGGUUAAUACCCUGGGGUCAUGACGGUACCGUAAGAACAAGCACCGGCUAACUACGUGCCAGCCGCCGCAGUAA